AUGGUCUCAUCUUGAAUUAUUGAGAUAUUGGUAGAUCUUAAAGGUUCUAGGUGACGUUUGGUUUUAUUGGUGCUGUCAUUGUUCGACCCCUAUAACCGGCGAUUGGUUCUAGGUGACGGGUUCGGAAUCAAGAAAAUUCGUCUGAAGAAUCAAGGUAGCAGAGGGAAAAACAGGCAUUCUGUGAUUCAUUGCACACACCCGUGUAAUAGAGAACAGAUGUAUGAGGCAGGGCGCGCCAUUCGAUGUGACCAGAUCAAAAGAACGCUGUAGAAAUGUCAGAUUCUGUCUUGAUUGUAGGUGUGAUAAAAUGUCAACUCAGUGAUAAAAUAAAUUAAUGCAACGUAUGAACCAAACCGGGCAUUUUGGGGAGUGUCCCAGUUCUGGCAGACUUCGACAGACUACAGAUAGAGAAG
Long non-coding RNA from Ylistrum balloti, 413 nucleotides. RefSeq lists it as uncharacterized. Lineage: Eukaryota; Metazoa; Mollusca; Bivalvia; Pectinida; Pectinidae. The record is from RefSeq and is a predicted model, not a curated record. The transcript has 3 exons.